RNAcentral lists this ribosomal RNA (1052 nucleotides) under uncultured bacterium. RNAcentral's name for it is "bacterial SSU rRNA". It matches the Rfam family "Bacterial small subunit ribosomal RNA", at positions 66 to 1129 of the family's 1533-position model. The record is from RNAcentral.
GCUUUUCAGUAGUUUACUACAGAAAAUGACUGAGCGGCGAACGGGUGAGUAACGCGUGAGCAAUCUACCUUAGUUACUGGGAUAGCCCGAGGAAACUCGGAUUAAUACCGGAUAUUCUUAUUUUUUCACAUGAAGUUUUAAGGAAAGGUCAGCCGAACUAAGAUGAGCUCGCGUUCUAUCAGCUAGUUGGUGGGGUAAAAGCCUACCAAGGCUACGACGGAUAGCUGGUCUGAGAGGACGAUCAGCCACACUGGGACUGAGACACGGCCCAGACUCCUACGGGAGGCUGCAGCAGGGAAUAUUGCGCAAUGAGCGAAAGCUUGACGCAGCGACACCGCGUGUGGGAUGACGGUUCUAGGAUUGUAAACCACUUUCAGGAGGGAAGAAAAUGACGGUACCUCCACAAGAAGACCCGGCCAACUACGUGCCAGCAGCCGCGGUAAUACGUAGGGGUCAAGCGUUGUCCGGAUUUAUUGGGCGUAAAGAGCUCGUAGGCGGUUCAACAAGUCGGUCGUAAAAGUUUAGGGCUCAACCCUAAAAUGUCGAUCGAUACUGUUGUGACUAGGAUACGGUAGAGGUGAAUGGAAUUCCGAGUGUAGCGGUGAAAUGCGUAGAUAUUCGGAGGAACACCAAUUGCGAAGGCAGUUCACUGGACCGUGAUCGACGCUGAGGAGCGAAAGCUAGGGGAGCAAACAGGAUUAGAUACCCUGGUAGUCCUAGCUGUAAACGAUGGAUACUAGAUGUAGGAACUGGAUUGACGGUUUCUGUAUCGUAGCUAACGCGUUAAGUAUCCCGCCUGGGGGAGUACGGUCGCAAGACUAAAACUCAAAGGAAUUGACGGGACCCCGCACAAGCGGCGGAGCAUGCGGCUUAAUUCGAUGAUACCCGUAGAACCUUACCUGGACUUGACAUAUAGGGAAAAGCUAAAGAAAUUUAGUGUGCGUAAGCGCCCUAUACAGGUGGUGCAUGGCUGUCGUCAGCUCGUGUCGUGAGAUGUUGGGGUUAAGUCCCGCAACGAGCGCAACCCCUGUCCUAUGUUGCCAGCAAGUAAU